RNAcentral lists this transfer RNA (859 nucleotides) under uncultured Synechococcus sp. RNAcentral's name for it is "partial contains 16S ribosomal RNA, 16S-23S ribosomal RNA intergenic spacer, and 23S ribosomal RNA". The stretch from base 282 to 354 matches the Rfam family "tRNA". Lineage: Bacteria; Bacillati; Cyanobacteriota; Cyanophyceae; Synechococcales; Synechococcaceae. The record is from RNAcentral.
UGGAUCACCUCCUAACAGGGAGACAACACAAUGAUUUUGAUGCCUGAGUACUUUUAUUCUUAGGCCGAAAUCCUGUCACCUUAGGUCGAUCGGUACCUCAGAUUUGAAAUCAAGAUAAUGCAGCAAUGCGUUGUGCUUGAUGAGAUUUUCAGUUCCUAAACUUUGUCUAGGUCACACCCCAAAAGGGAUGAGACUCCUGGGCCAUUAGCUCAGGUGGUUAGAGCGCACCCCUGAUAAGGGUGAGGUCCCUGGUUCAAGUCCAGGAUGGCCCAUUCGGUGUUGGGGGUUUAGCUCAGUUGGUAGAGCGCCUGCUUUGCAAGCAGGAUGUCAGGAGUUCGAGUCUCCUAACCUCCACUGACCGAACUUUAUCCCCAUCUCCAAGUUAUGGAGUUGAGCUCGAUUGGAGUGUGAUUUAGAUGUGUCCGCUGGAUGACCCCAGCUUCCUGUCAUUCCAAGUUUUUAAGUUGAAAGCUUUGAUUUGGUUGAUAAGAUGCUGGGCUCGGAUCAAAUGAUCAAGCAAUUGAUGAUUUGAUUUGAAGUUCUAGCAGAACCUUGACAACUGCAUAGGUGAAGUCUGGAAAAACAAAGCAUCUUACAGAUGCAUUGUUUUGGGUCUGAUCUUCUGAAAGGGAGAUUAGAACCAGAACAAUGAAAAUUCUUUUGAGCAAGAGCCGAGACUCUUGAAUGUUCUUUGAUUCGUGUCGAGCGAAUCAGAGUUUGAUCUCGUUUUAGGAGUCAACGAAAGUUGAUGAUUAAAACUUGAGAAUCUGCUUUCAACGGCGGUAAGCGUUCAAGAGGUUAAUUGGUCAAGCUACAAAGGGCUCACGGCGGAUACCUUGGCACACAGAGGCGAUGAAGG